AUGAAGGUUCGAGUGGCAGUGUAGAAUGAACAAGCAAGGAUUUCUAUUUCAUUAAGCGUAUCAGGUUAAGCUGUGAUGUAGAUGGAAGCAAGCAGAGCAAAGCCUUCAGUGUAUAUUAAAUUAGGCUCAGGAUUCCAUGUCUUCAUACAUGUAAUCCACAUGAAUUAUUCCGCUGCAACACUCGGUCUAUUCUACUUUAUUGAUGUGUUGUACAUAUUUUAAAUCAAUAGCUUUGAGAAUUAUAUCACUUGAAAGUUAGACAACUUGUCAUUGUGUAUUGUAAGUUGUCUACUCAUGAGUUUUAAAAGUGAUUGCCUAUGUUUAUACAAUAUUAAAGUAAUUCAUCGUUAAAGAGGGUUCAUUAUUAUUAUUUAAA
Molecule: long non-coding RNA, 376 nt
Organism: Salvia miltiorrhiza (redroot sage)
Lineage: Eukaryota; Viridiplantae; Streptophyta; Magnoliopsida; Lamiales; Lamiaceae
Exons: 2
Source: RefSeq, a predicted model, not a curated record